RNAcentral lists this transfer RNA (73 nucleotides) under Stegodyphus mimosarum. It matches the Rfam family "tRNA". From Rfam's summary of the family: Transfer RNA (tRNA) molecules are approximately 80 nucleotides in length. The record is from Rfam by way of RNAcentral. Lineage: Eukaryota; Metazoa; Arthropoda; Arachnida; Araneae; Eresidae.
GUUUUCGUGGUGUAGUGGUCAGCACGCUUAGUGAGUAUUCCAGAGGUCCGUGGUUCGAGUCCCGGCGAAAGCG